AACUCAGGUGCACUGGGUCCCUUGAGAGUCCACAUGAAUUUUAGGAUAGAUUUUUCUAUUUUUGCAAAAAACAUCAUUGGAAUUUUUACCUCCUUGAGUUCUCCGCCACCAACUUCCAUAACCAUCAGGAUAUUCUACAACUUCUGCAAGAUUAACAAUUUUACCAUACACUGUAUUUGUCUCACGUGGUUUAAAACAUCCAGAAAUCAUUGAUAAACUGACCCUGCCCAAACUAAAGCAUGGUAACUGGCCGCCACUGCCCAGUCAGCCCCCCAUGAGGUCCAGCCCGAGGUGGGCAGCACUUUGUGCUCGGGGCCUGUCCAGCAGGGAGCCUGCCUUGAUCUCUGCAAUCAGGAAUGUGGCUGAGCAAAUGCAGCUUGUACCUGCUGGAUGGAUACACCUCCCAGAUGCUCUGUUGCUAGAAGGUUCCUGGCAGUGCAGGGAAAGGUGGCUCUGCAGGUGGAGGCUCCACAUAAUGGGCUCAAAACAUCUGGUCCAGUGGUUAAAAGCUGUUCACAGGGGUGAUUGGACCCCACUAAGCAUUCUUUCGUCUGUAGUGAAUAUUUCACCAAAAACAGCUCUAGGAAAGGCUGGAGGAUCAGUACUAUGUGCUCAAGCCAUGGCCACGCCCUCCAUCUUCCACCUGACCGAGAAGUGGGGGCUGAAGGCCACGGCCGCCCCAGGAGAAAGGACACUAGGAAGGCCACCGGGGGGCCUGAGGAACAUGCGCGUGAAGCAGAUGGGAAAGGAGUUUCAGGUUUAUUGUGGUCCUUGAGGGAAAAGCUGAGGGCCCAGCCGUGGUCCCGCAAGUGGAAGUAACCCGCUCUGCAGGGUGAACACGCACCCAGUGCUGCCCAGGAAGCUGCCAGUCAGGAUUGGGCGCAGUCUCUGGAAGGAACUCCAGGAGACAGUGUGGCCUCCACAGCAUUAGGCAGCCAAGGAGAUGCAAACACGUCUGCUGUAGAUGCUGGUGAUGAGACCCCCUCUUCCCAGCCAAGGCCUGCUGGGUAAGAGUGGCAUUUCCGUGGAUGACUUUAUCCCUCAGGAUCGGGGCAUGCAGAUUUAUUGGCUGGCUUCCUUCUUACAGUUUCUUCUCAGAGCACACUCAAGAGAGGCCAUCUGUCCCUUGAGAGGCUGUUGACCAAAAGAGGCUGAAGAAGGAUGUGGAGCCCAGCUACAGCGGGACCAGCCUGGGGCCUGAUGAGAGCUUGGCCCAGAACCCCCAAGCUCAUCAUUCACAAUGAUGCCUCAGAAACCCUCCCAGA
Molecule: long non-coding RNA, 1265 nt
Organism: Diceros bicornis minor
Lineage: Eukaryota; Metazoa; Chordata; Mammalia; Perissodactyla; Rhinocerotidae
Exons: 6
Source: RefSeq, a predicted model, not a curated record